GGGAGAGGGCGAGGCUCCACCCCCUCCUCUGCAGCCAGGCAGCUCUAAGGCCUGAUCCCGGGAAAGGACAUCUGUCCCCAUGGAAACCGAGGUGGGGGAGGGGAGCCGGCCCGGCUGGUGUCACUUCAAGGUCCCGGGAGGAGUCUGUCUGACCCCCACCUUUUCCUGGGUGCAGAUUCUAGAAUUGUCCUGGGUACAGCAGAAAUGUACACAUGUUCACCAGAAUACAAGACCAACCUGUACACAGCACAGGAUUUUGGAGUGAUGAAGAGAUGGUCAUGUAAUGGACUACUCUACAGCCAGGAAAAGGGAUGAAGCACUCACAGAUACACCAAUAGAAGUGAAUUUUUCAGACAUCAUGUGGAGUAAAAAAAAAAAAAGCAGACACAAAAGAGAACAUACUUGUAUGGGGCAGACCCCAGGCCCUGUGCAUGUGAGGUGAGCGGACUCCACUGAGCAGCACCAGGCCGGACUCCAGUUUACUAAAAGCACCCUGCAGGCCACGGUGGGGACCAGCUAUGAGGUGAGAACUCAGAGCAGGAGCAGGAGGAGCAGAGGACCUGGAUAUGACUGGACUGGUGGCAGCCAUCGCAAGGGAGCCUGGGGGAGAAGCUGCUUCUGGCCAUGAUGGGCCUGAGCUGCCUGGUGGACCCUGCAGAAGGCACAUUCCUGGCUCCUGAGAUGCAGCUGGGCAGCGGCUGGGGAGACCAGAGCCAGAAGGAAAACCAGGUAGCCAAAUAGCUGCACACAGGCCUGGAAGGCUCAGGAACCUGAUGGGGGGCGGGGGGCGAGCAGAUCUAGCUGAGGAGGGCAUGGGCACACACCUGUCAUGCCAGCACUGCUGGAGGCUGAGGCAGGAGGGUUGC
Heterocephalus glaber (naked mole-rat) is the source of this 866-nucleotide non-coding RNA. Lineage: Eukaryota; Metazoa; Chordata; Mammalia; Rodentia; Bathyergidae. The record is from RefSeq and is a predicted model, not a curated record.